This 73-nucleotide non-coding RNA is filed under the name Cupriavidus pinatubonensis JMP134. Lineage: Bacteria; Pseudomonadati; Pseudomonadota; Betaproteobacteria; Burkholderiales; Burkholderiaceae. The record is from RNAcentral.
CGCGUGGGUAGAAGCGGUCGAUUGGACAGCAGCGGCGCAAUGCCGUGAGGUCCAACUGGAGAUUGCUCACUGA